GAAAUGCGAUAAGUAAUGCGAAUUGCAGAAUUUCAGUGAGUCAUCGAAUCUUUGAACGCACAUUGCGCCCUUUGGUAUUCCGAAGGGCAUGCCUGUUCGAGCGUCAUUAUCACCCCUCAAGCCUGGCUUGGUGUUGGACGUCCGGUCGCGUUCGGUCACGACCCGUCCCAAAGACAAUGACGGCGUCCAGAGGACCCUCGGUACAUUGAGCUUUAACCGGCACGUACUCGAGUUAAGGGCCUCUGGACCCGGUCACCUUUUUAAACUAUUUUACAAGGUUGACCUCGGAUCAGGUAGGAAUACCCGCUGAACUUAA
Molecule: unclassified non-coding RNA, 316 nt
Filed under: uncultured fungus
Lineage: Eukaryota; Fungi
Description: sequence contains ITS1
Rfam family: 5.8S ribosomal RNA (bases 1-106)
Source: RNAcentral